GCUCCUUUAGCACAGUGGUAGUGCGUCCGCUUCGUAAGCGGAAGGUCCUGAGUUCAAUCCUCAGAGGGAGCA
This 72-nucleotide transfer RNA is filed under the name Klebsormidium nitens. Its description in RNAcentral is "tRNA-Thr (CGT) (tRNA-Thr-CGT-1-1)". It matches the Rfam family "tRNA". Rfam says of the family: Transfer RNA (tRNA) molecules are approximately 80 nucleotides in length. Their secondary structure includes four short double-helical elements and three loops (D, anti-codon, and T loops). Lineage: Eukaryota; Viridiplantae; Streptophyta; Klebsormidiophyceae; Klebsormidiales; Klebsormidiaceae. The record is from Rfam by way of RNAcentral.